Harpia harpyja (harpy eagle) is the source of this 1000-nucleotide long non-coding RNA. RefSeq lists it as uncharacterized. NCBI's taxonomy places the organism in Eukaryota, Metazoa, Chordata, Aves, Accipitriformes, Accipitridae. The record is from RefSeq and is a predicted model, not a curated record. The transcript is spliced from 3 exons.
AGCAAGAAUUUCAGGGGAAAUGGAUAUGAGAGAGUGCAUAGCCUACAGGUAGGUAUGUGGGAAAAGGUGUGGAAAUGUGGGUGGACUAGCAACUUGUCAGAGUUUGGUGGAGGAAAGGGAGCAAUAUUUCUAUUACCAUAUGCAAGGGUUAUUGAAUAAAAGACUUCAGUAUUGUGCAAGAAGUGAAAUGAGAGGAUCUAAGAAUUGAAUUUGCUGGAUUCUCUGUUUCAAAUUCAAUCAGCAGUUAUCCCUUUAAGUAGCCACAGAACCAAGAGAGAGUAGAGAUGAGAAGAUCAUCCAUCAUCCAAAUGAGGAAAUAAAGGUGUGGAGGUAAUCUCCUUGACUGCCCUUGAUGUCAAAGGUGCUUUAUGACUCACAAAGAAGAAUAUGCUGGCUGCAAGUGAUGUGAAUAAGUAGUGGUUUGACCUUCCUGAUAUCAGGUGGACUACACGAAGACAGACCUUUACCCCACAGUCAACUUUAAAACACCUCGCAAAAGGCAAAAUGCCCACUUCAGUCAUGUCCGCUGCUGAUCAUUAAUUGCUUCAGAAAAAGACAAUAUUUUAUCCGUCCUCUUUGGAGUUCGAGUAUGAAUGGUGAAGCAAAAGAGAGUGAAACUGAGUGAAACAUGAAAAGCUUGAUUUGUUAGGACCCCUGCUGUCUGAAAAGAGAUCAAAGCUCAGGAGGAGGCUGUAAAACAGCCGAAUGCACUGCACAGAAACAUGGCCUGUGGCAGCUGCUCUGGGCACGCUCUCACAACACAGGUGUACCUCCAAGUCUGCUCUGCCAGCUGAAUCAUGGGAGCAGGUUACCUCUUCUCCUUCUUCAUUAUUUCAACUGCAGUCACUGAGGAGACGUGGGCUCCAUCCAUCACAAUGCACAAAUUCACAGUGCGCAGAUUCAGCACAGGCCUAAUUAAAGCUUUUCCUUUCAUUUGUGGAGAUAAUUAGACUUUCAUCUCACCAGGAAGCUUCAGAAAGAUCUAUUUCUUUCUUCAAUA